GACGAACGCUGGCGGCGUGCUUAACACAUGCAAGUCGAGCGGGGUCCAACUUGUCGCAAGACAAGGGAAGGCCUAGCGGCGAACGGGUGAGUAACACGUGAGGAACCUGCCCCGAAGACUGGGAUAACACCGGGAAACCGGUGCUAAUACCCGGAUAACCUCUUUUGAACGCAUGAUCAGAAGAGGAAAUGGAUUCCGCUUCGGGAGGGCCUCGCGGCCUAUCAGCUUGUUGGUGGGGUAACGGCCCACCAAGGCUACGACGGGUAGCUGGUCUGAGAGGACGGCCAGCCACACUGGGACUGAGACACGGCCCAGACUCCUACGGGAGGCAGCAGUGGGGAAUCUUGCGCAAUGGGCGAAAGCCUGACGCAGCGACGCCGCGUGGGGAUGAAGGUCUUCGGA
RNAcentral lists this ribosomal RNA (402 nucleotides) under uncultured bacterium. RNAcentral's name for it is "bacterial SSU rRNA". It matches the Rfam family "Bacterial small subunit ribosomal RNA", at positions 28 to 422 of the family's 1533-position model. The record is from RNAcentral.